CUCCUGUUUUUUUUUUUUUUUCUUUUAGAGAAAAAGAGAAGAAUAUUCUACAUUUUCCGGAAUAUUUUUUUCCAUUCUAGCAUUAACCGAGACCAGACGGCACGAAAGUUUCGGUGUAGUAAACAUCGCACUUCCAGCAUUCCAAUUAUGACGGUUUUAAUGGAUAUUACCUGACACUGUCGAAGUCUGCGUGGCCCUCUUGAAUUUCGCAUUAAAAUUUCAUAAUUACGUUUUCAUUAGUUUCCUUAAUUCGCGUAUAAGUUAAAAGAGAAGCGCGGUUACAGAUAAUAUAAGUAAUUGAGUCUUAACUUAAGUAAAAGCCGGCUCGAUUUUUUCUUUUUCUCCCAUGAAUAUUUGAAGCGGUUAUUAUAUUAUUAAGAAGUUUCCAUCGGGGGAAAAUAUUCCUAUAACUCUAGAUGGCGGAGGUGUGUUCGGACGGAUGAAGCGAAUAGCUAUUGAUUGACCUUCUAUCAAAAGAUGACCUUUGCAACCAAGGUUAUUCCGGUAUGAAGAUAAGCUUUGAUGUACGUUACAGUCGCAUUCACAACUUCAUAGAUAUCGGACCGAAAGCGAAACGCAAUAGCGCAUCCGAAGUCAUUUUGUAUCAAUCCGUUUCUAAACGAUUUAAAUUUUUCUUUUUUAUUAUUUCUUCUGAAACUUCAGCCGCGGCCAUAAAAAGAAUUUUUUUAAUUCGAGAAAGAUUUUUUCAUCCGAUAAGGAAAUACCGGCGGACGAGAUCAAAAGAAUCGAUUUCGUAUCCGUCCAUAAUUAAUUAUUUUUUCAUCAUUAAGUAAAUACCGCGCAAACAAUGCGGUCUUUAAUCCGACGACCCAAUUUUCGUAAUUUAUCGUAAAAUUUUAAACGGAAGGCGUAAUUUUGGCGAACACACCAUUCUUCAUUACCUGGAAAGAAUUACGUCAUCUCAUAAAUAUUUUUGCCUCAUCGUUCGGAAGGUUUUGUGGAUCGUUAAGUGUUGCCAGAACUUAUCGUAAUGCCAGUGAUUUAUUUGGCAGAGAACAUGAGCGGCUCGUGAUUUGGACCCGACCGAUAGUGGGAAUUUAAUAGGGCGCAUCCAUUAUGUAUCGAAAAGUGUCUGUAUAUAUCCAUUUAUGUAUGAGAAGCGAAGAAUACGCUCUUUGGAUGUUUUCCAAUCGUAAUAAAGAGUAGCGUUGUGGAAAAUGUUUCGUAUUUUUUUUUUUUUUUUUUUUUUAAGAAAUUGCCACUCCCGUACAGAAAUGGUCUGAAGUAUGUUCGCGUAUUCCGACAUAAAUGUCGUGUUUGCGUCCUACAGGUGCAGGACAGCCUAUAUUUCCGG
This 1315-nucleotide long non-coding RNA is filed under the name Androctonus crassicauda. The record is from RNAcentral. Lineage: Eukaryota; Metazoa; Arthropoda; Arachnida; Scorpiones; Buthidae.